UUUGUUAUCUCAUCCUACUUCCUUUGUGAGAUAAGAAUGUUACAAUUUUGUGCGAUAACUUUUAAUUCAUAUGGAUAAUUUCAGUUAUUAUCUAUAAACUAGAUGACUCUGAAGCUAUUUUAAGUUAUUCUAUCUUUGUCUUAUGAAGCUCGUAUAAAUUUUUAUGCAUGUUGUUGGUGCAAAUAAAAGGUGGAGUGGUGGAUGUGGAGGAAGGCAAUAUAAGUUUUGUUCCUUUCUCAAAAUCGAUCAUCUGUGUAAUAGGUAUACCCAAUGUACAAGGCCUUUAUUAAACCAGAUCUUCAAACUGCUUAUA
Molecule: long non-coding RNA, 313 nt
Organism: Rosa chinensis
Lineage: Eukaryota; Viridiplantae; Streptophyta; Magnoliopsida; Rosales; Rosaceae
Exons: 2
Source: RefSeq, a predicted model, not a curated record